Long non-coding RNA from Mytilus californianus (California mussel), 1879 nucleotides. RefSeq lists it as uncharacterized. The transcript is spliced from 3 exons. NCBI's taxonomy places the organism in Eukaryota, Metazoa, Mollusca, Bivalvia, Mytilida, Mytilidae. The record is from RefSeq and is a predicted model, not a curated record.
UUUAUGUUAAUCUUGCAACUGAUAAAUGUAAAUUUCAUCAUAUAUAAAGAUUUAUAUUUUACGAAAAUUUUGAAAAAGAUUUGAAGACUGAGGGAUAAUUGAUUAAAGUCCAUAUUUCAUUCAAAUUGAGGACGAUAUAAUGUGUUAAUAUCAUUUUCGGAAUAUGCUUUACUAGAGCGAGACGCUAUACGAUCGAGCCGGAUAUUUAUAUUCUAGCUCACAAGGUGAAGAAGAAACGAUGAAUGUGUAAGUUGAAACAGAGGUGGAAAGAAAACAAAUACAGCACGGGUGAAAGAUGUUCGCCCUUUUUUCAUUCAACUUUUCUGAAAGCUUCGUUGAAACUGUUCAUCUGUCCUGCAUAUUAUUUUUUCUGGUUUUGGGAAUACUCAUAAUUAUAGUAUUUCUAUGGAUAUUCUUGAAAUAUGACCACACAAAUUCUGACACUUUAUUUCUUGCUUUGAUAAUAGGAUUUUUUCAUCAAUGUUUUGUGUCAAUGAACUGGCUAAAAUCGACAUAUCAUCUAAAUGGAAUUACUGUUUUCGUGUUCGAUUGGUACACUUUUCCCGUCGUUUGUUUCAUAUUUACUUUUGGCGUGGUGUGCAUGAUAGAUUGUUCAAAAGAGGAGUCUACAACAAGAAUAUUUGCAUAUGGAGUUUACAUUUCCGCGGUUUUACUGCUAGUUUUUGGAAUGGGAGUUUACGGAUUCAGUAAUCAACAUGCAAAUCAUUAUAGCUUGAAGUUUAACAAAAUAGCAAUUCUAGUUAACAUGAUCACAAUUGUGAGUUAUGCUUUGGAAUAUGUUUUAGUCUAUGCCCCGAUCACUGUGAUCCUGAUCUGGAACAUGAAGGGAUGUGUGCUUAUUACAGGUCAAAAAGGUGGACAUCACGAGCAGUGUAUAAAGAGUGAUCAUAAUAUUAAAGUACAGCGACACAUCUUAAGGUUUAUGUUGUUUAUGAUUUGGAUCGUGAGACCAUUUUUGUGGACUAUAAACUUUCAUUACAAUUUUGUGACACAAGAUUUUAUUCCAAGCAUGGCAGUGUGCAUGGUGUAUAUGUUUUUACUUUGGGAUUUUGGUAUUUUCUACUUGAGAGACUUUUUAGGCUGGCAGCCAAUCAAGCCGGCACCACCAUUGUUUUCUUAUCAUCCAAUUUUCAUCUAAAACCAAACAAAAAACUGUAUAAGACUUAAACAUUCAAUGAACCUUAAACUCAUAGUAAACUGAAAUAGCACCUCCUUUGUUAACUGAAAUAGACAUUUACACGUCUUGUCAUGAUUCUUUUCAGCUUAAAUCCAGUUUUAUAUGCCAAUGAUACUAGAAGCCACUUUUUAUUCAAUACAAAAACGUUCUGAAAUUUGAGAUCUUUUUUCUUUUUCAUUUUGUCUUGUUUCUAUUCUACACAAUUAGCAGAUUAAGAAACAAUAUUGAAAUAGAAAAUUGAAUAAUCUAACAUUUUGUAAUUACACAUGUCAUUUUGAAUACAUGAUUUAUGUAAGUUGAAAUGAGAUAUGUUAUAAUGUAUAAUCCAUAGCCAAGAAGCUAUCACAAUUACAAGAAACAAGUUGUUUAUUACAGUUAUUAGUGUAAUUGUUAAAGCAAUGUAGGAUCUUAACCCCGAACUGAACAGUAGGUCAAUAUCACACUUAAUAUCAACUCUGUUGUCAGCUCUAGUAAUGAUAUCAAUGAAAAGUUCUGGAUGAAUAAUUCUCAACUUAUUGCACGGAAUCAACUUUAAAUGCCAUUUCUAAAUCAAUCAAGGACCAUCGCAGAAGCAUAGGUUCAUAUUACAUUUACAUUUCUCGUCCUGGUAAUUUAUGCAUGUAAUAUUUGCUACUUGACAUUAAACAAUAAUAUCGUCAUCGUUUUCGUUGACCAAGCAAU